Long non-coding RNA from Prionailurus viverrinus (fishing cat), 4109 nucleotides. RefSeq lists it as uncharacterized. The transcript is spliced from 3 exons. The record is from RefSeq and is a predicted model, not a curated record. Lineage: Eukaryota; Metazoa; Chordata; Mammalia; Carnivora; Felidae.
UCUCUCCAUCUCUCAAUAAUAAACAAACGUUAAAAAAAUUAAAAAAAUAUAUAUAUAUAUAUACUGGACAGGGCUCUUGCCUCUAUUUACAGGACAGCCCCCAUGUUUGCAUCUCCAGCCGGGACCUCUGUCUUGAAUUCCACACCUGUUCAAUCAACCUUGACAUCACCGCCUGGGUGUUUAACUGCCGCGUUUUAUUCAGCAGGCUCAACACGGGACAAAGCCGCUCCUCCCACUACCUUCCUCAUUGCACAAAAGGCAACUCGGUGCUUUCAGUCACUCAGACUAAAAAACCUUGGGGUCAGCUUGCACCUGUGGGGUGCAAUUCAUCCAAUUCAUCAGCAAAUCCUGGCGGUUCUAUCUUCCACAUGUAUCCAGAAGCCGGCUGCUUCUCACUUUCCGGUAACACAUAAAUCAGAUCACAUCACCUCUCUGCUCAGAACCGCCCGAUGGCUCCAUGUUACUAAAGCCAAAGCCGGAGUCCUCACCUCCCAACUAUUCUCUCCAUUUAACCUGCUCCGGGAAUCAGCGGACCUCCUUGCUACUCCCUCCACUAUGCUGGCCACGCUCCUGGCCUGGAAUGCUCUUUUCUGCAGAUAUCUGGUCUGCUUGCUUGCUCACCCACCGCCUUGAGAUCUUCUUGGUGACGCCUUUCCUGACCAUCCUACUUAGAAAGGCAGCCCCCUCUCCCCCCCUCCACCAUCUCCUCCCUCCCCCUUUCCCUUCCCUGCUUUAUUUUUUCCUUAGGACUCCGUUACCACCCAGCACACGAUAUGUUUUAUUCACUGAAUAUGAUUAUCAUUGACCAUUAGAAAGGAAGCUCCAGGAGGGCAGGAAUUUUUGUGUGGUGAGGUCUCUCCAGCUCCUAUGACGGUGCCCAGCACAGGUAAGUGCUCAAUAAAUGUUUGGUAACCUCCCAGACGGACUGGUAAGUGACAAACGCAAGUUGCAGGGCAACAAGAAUAGUGUGAUCUAAUUUAUGUAAAAGAACACCCACUAGGCACCAUUCUAUUCUGCAUAUAUGCAUGCAAAUGGAUGCAAAUGCACGGAGCUGUCUUGGGAAGGAUCACACCAAAGCCAAGGCAGCCCGGUGAUAACUAGGGUUACUUCCCAGUGGGGGGGGGGAUGGGGAAGGGGUGUCAAGGAAGACUUUAGUCAUAUCUGUAAUGUUUGCCUUUUUUCCCAAGCAAACUGUAUUCCUGUAUCACUUUUGUGGGAUUUAAAAGAAAUAAAAAUGAAAUCCAUUAAAAAUGAUAAUGUGGCAACGGCUUCCAGGGAGUAAACAGAAGAGGUUUGAAGGACUCAUCUAAGUGCCAAAAGCCAUUCUUAGGGUUCCCAUCUGCGGAUGGCCUCCAGGACUGCGCCCCUUCCUGCUCCCACCCCUCCCCCAACCCCGUGCACUUGACACAUGAUGUUUAUGUAGCACCUACCCUUUGUUGGGUUGUUUUUAUUGUUUGUUUGAGAGAGAGAGAGAGAGACAGAGAGAGCUGGAGAGAGGGGCAGAGGGAGAGAGAGAGAGAGAGAAAGAAUCCCAAGCAGGCUCCACACUCAGUGCGGAGCCCAACACCGGGCUCGAUCCCAUGACCCUGGGAUCAUGACCUGAACCGAAAUCAAGAGUCAGAUGCUUAACCGACUGAGACGCCAAAGCGCCCCUUGCUGGGUUGUUUUAAGAGCUGGGGAUAGAGAAAUAGAGCAUUUUGCCUCACAGAGUUGACUUCUUAUUGGGGGAGCCAAGGCCCCCCAGCUGCUCAGCCAGGCCUCUGUGGGAUGGAAGGUGUGGAUCCCCCAGCUAUAGAAACAGUGUCCCUGUGGGCUGAUAUCCUGGGCAAGGCUGCCUUAGGCCUCCUAAGACUUGUCCUGGGAAUCUGUCCUUGUAGACAUGGAAGGAGCCACGUCCUUCUCACUUGACUAAGGGAUUGGAAUAACACCAUCACACAGAUUGGAGUUAACAAAUAGCAAACCUACAGGGAGUCUUUCUCAAGCAUUCUCGCCCACCCCCGCCCCAGGCCCGGCGUGGGGGAGGCUCCAUUCUGCUGCCUGAAGACAACAGAUCCGACAGGAUGGGGCUUCUAGCCUCUGGCGACAUGUCCCCCGCCUCUUGUUCUCAUCAGUGGGGCAAGAUCACUCAGGAGCAGGCCCCUUAGCUCUUUGUAACCGGGGCUCAGGAGUACGAGACCACCUGGCUCCGGGGGUCCCAAACAGACCAGGCUCGGCCGCUCUGAAAUCCAAAGGCAGAGCAGGGAGUGGUGGGGAGACGAGAAAGGAAUUUAUUUCAGUGAGGCAAACACCAGGGUGACAGUGACUCAAGGACUGUCUCCGAAGUGCUGAAAAUCCUUCCAGGUUCAUAUAAGGAAAAUGUGGGACGAAGGUCAGUGGGUAUGUGCAGGUGGGCAAGAAAGGUCAGGUCGAUCACCGUCUCGGGGUCAGUGACUGGUGGGGGUCUUGGUGGCUCGGGGCAGCCCUCGCUGCUUGAGGGGGUAGUUUCAGUUCCCAUCAGGGGAUGCUCUGCCCCCGGGGUGGUUUGCCUGAGCUAAGGGAUAAGCCGGAAAGAAUUUAAUCAGUUAAGGAGUACCGACUGAGGUCAAAAUGGAGGUAGGUGACAUCCUCUUGCAAAUCUCCACUGUCAAAACACCGUUCCGUCUCUACAGAAGGAAAAGGGACUAGGGUUAUUCCCUCUGUAGCUACUCCCCUCUGUCCCCCCAGCCCAACAUCUUUUGUCUUUAACUGGAGUUAUUUAAGGCGGUGGUUUGGGCCAUUUGGGGGACUUACUCAGUUUUCCUGGGUCUCUCCCACGUACACAAGAGGGAUACAUGUUAUUAAACUUUUGCUUGUUUUGUCUUUUUAUUACAGGGGCGUCUGAGCCAUGUAUGCAGAAGAGUAGAGGGAAGAUUAUUUUUCCUCCCUCCACGAUCCUUGGAGCUCCUUUCUAUCCUUCAGAUGGGAUGCUGCCUGAUUCAUGCAUCAUUGAAGAAACCCGAUUUGAUCUUUAAAGGUUGGGACGGCACGAGUGUCACCAGGUUGGGACGGCACGAGUCUCACCACCGUGCCCUACGGCCCCAGCUCCCGAGAGGGGAAGAGGCUGCGGUGGGAAUCAGUAUUGCGCCCCUUCGGCCAUUUCCGGGCCCUAAAGUGACAUUUUUCUGCUCAGUUCAAUGUCAAAGAGGAAGGUUCACAUGCUGUUUUCUCCAGAGCCUGGACUGCCCUCCUACCCACUCCUCCCACUCAGCUCGGCUUGUCACUUCCUUCCUUCAACCAGCACCUCGAACUGCCAUCCUGAUACAGCCUCAACUCAACGGCCGCUGCCCCCCAGGCACUCUUCCACUCCCCUCUUUGCCCACCCCUGCGCAGCGGCCCGUGGAAGAUUCUCGUGCUUCUCGAGGCAGCCCUCGCCUGUGCCGUCUGUCCCUCCCGAGCUUGCUGGACCCCGUGUGCCGACAGCGCCCUUCACAGGGGUCUUGACUCCUAUCGGGUCCGCUCUGUGAGCCUGGCUGGCUGCCAGCUGGACGGCUCUGAAGCCAACUCUAGGGAGGGAGUCCGGCCAAGGGCUGGCCUGGAUCACUGCUGAGAGAGAAGCAGCCGCCAGUCCCCACAGAGACGUUGCUCUCCAAACUUGUGAGUGGACGUGUCUCAGGAACUUGCUACCCACAUUCCUCGUACUUCGAAGACUGGCUCAAAACGGGCAGCCGGGGAGAGAGGCUAAGAACUCCUUGUGAUCGCAGCCCUGGGGCUGUCUGCCCGUCACCAGCUGUGUGACCUGGGGCGAUUCCUUAACCUCUCGGAGCCUCUGUUUUCUCAUCUGAAAAAAAAAAAAAAUGGACACGAAAGGAACUAUUUUUAUUGCCCCAUAGGCCUUUUGUGGGGCUCAGACGAGAUCAUGGACAGGAACGCUGUUGGUAAGCAUUUUGGUGCCGUCCUGGUGCUGCUGUGUGGUGUGGAUGCACCAAUGCAAAUAAGACACAAAAACACUGAUUAAAACAUGGUGUGUGUGUGUGCGCGUGAACAGACAAAACUUGCCACGGAUUCGCCUCUGAAGGAUGUCGACCUUCAAAGUAAAACAGCUACCUUUUAUACCAGUGAAAUGAAUUUAUUUGGAAACAGAGUCACUACAA